AUAAUGCUCCAGGAGCAAUAGGUCUGUAAAGUGAAACAAGGACUCAAUAUCCACAAUAUGUGUUUUGCAGACUCCAGGCCAGCAUCAGUUUGUUGCCACCUACUGAAUAUCCACUGGGACGUAUUAGGGGUUCUCCAAGAAGGCAUCUUCCAGCUUAGUUUCACUCAAAAGAAACUCACUUGUGUGCCCUGAAAAUGCUCUGCAACAGGAGGUCCAGUAAGUAGGCACAGAUAAGGAAAUUCACUGGGAAGGCACAGGACUAACUCCAUCAAGCAGGCACAGGAAGCCUGAACUCAAAACCAAAUGAGUUCUGUGAAACAGAGGCCCAUGAGCUGAAGCGUUAGAAAUCACUGCACGUUUCAUUACAAUGCUAUCAUCAGAUUUCUGGCAUUUAGGAAGCCAAAAACCUAUGAUGCUGUUGUGUUUUAUCUGUUACAACAGGUACACGAGGAGCUAUUGAGAAGUUGUUGAGCCAUGAAGCUCAGCCUGCCAGGCUCAAAUUCAAGCAGUGUGUAAUGUGAGCCAAGCUGAGGAACACAAACCUUCUAUGGCAGCAAUAAAUGAAGAAGAUCAUACUGCAAGAAGUGUGAUGUGGCCCACAUUUUCAAAAUACUGCCUAACUCACAAGGAUGCAAUGCCUCUGGUUGAACACAACCCUACAUAAAGACAAGAUACUUCAUGCUGCUGGGAACAAAGAGAACAAGCAACAUUUCAUGAGGCUCCAUCUUACCCUCUCAUCCAUUGGCACCUUGGUGACUUCAUCCUGGCUGUCCUCCGGCACUGGAACCCUAGCAACUGAGAGUCCGUU
Long non-coding RNA from Passer domesticus (house sparrow), 808 nucleotides. RefSeq lists it as uncharacterized. The transcript has 3 exons. The record is from RefSeq and is a predicted model, not a curated record. NCBI's taxonomy places the organism in Eukaryota, Metazoa, Chordata, Aves, Passeriformes, Passeridae.